Molecule: ribosomal RNA, 877 nt
Filed under: uncultured Bacteroidota bacterium
Lineage: Bacteria; Pseudomonadati; Bacteroidota
Description: bacterial SSU rRNA
Rfam family: Bacterial small subunit ribosomal RNA
Source: RNAcentral
UUGCAAAUCGCGGCUUAUAAUGCAGUCGACGGUAAGGUCUCUUCGGAGAUACACGAGUGGCGCACGGGUGCGUAACGCGUAUGCAACCUACCUUUAACUGGGAAAUAGCCCCGAGAAAUCGGGAUUAAUGUCCCAUAUUAUUCUGAGGAUACCUAUUCUUAGAAUGAAAGCUCCGGCGGUUAAAGGUGGGCAUGCGUGACAUUAGCUAGUUGGUGAGGUAACGGCCCACCAAGGCGACGAUGUCUAGGGGUCCUGAGAGGGUUAACCCCCACACUGGUACUGAGACACGGACCAGACUCCUACGGGAGGCAGCAGUAAGGAAUAUUGGGCAAUGGACGCAAGUCUGACCCAGCCAUGCCGCGUGAAGGAUGAAUGUCCUAUGGAUUGUAAACUUCUUUUGUGCAGGAAAAACCCCCCGGUUUCGUACCGGGGCUGAUUGUACUGUACGAAUAAGCAUCGGCUAACUCCGUGCCAGCAGCCGCGGUAAUACGGAGGAUGCAAGCGUUAUCCGGAUUCAUUGGGUUUAAAGGGUGCGCAGGCGGAAUGAUAAGUCAGUGGUGAAAUCUCCCGGCUCAACCGGGAAACUGCCGUUGAUACUGUCAUUCUUGAGUACAGUUGAAGUGGGCGGAAUGUGUCAUGUAGCGGUGAAAUGCUUAGAUAUGACACAGAACACCGAUAGCGAAGGCAGCUCACUAAGCUGUAACUGACGCUCAUGCACGAAAGCGUGGGGAUCAAACAGGAUUAGAUACCCUGGUAGUCCACGCUGUAAACGAUGAUCACUCGUUGUUGGCGAUAUACUGUCAGCGACUGAGCGAAAGCAUUAAGUGAUCCACCUGGGGAGUACGGCGGCAACGUUGAAACUCAAAGGAAUUGACGG